This 484-nucleotide ribosomal RNA is filed under the name uncultured bacterium. RNAcentral's name for it is "partial 16S ribosomal RNA". It matches the Rfam family "Bacterial small subunit ribosomal RNA", at positions 30 to 507 of the family's 1533-position model. The record is from RNAcentral.
AUUGAACGCCGGCGGCAGGCCUAACACAUGCAAGUCUAGCGGAUGAAGCUAGCUUGCUCCUGGAUUCAGCGUCUGACGGGUGAGUAAUUCCUAGGAAUCUGCCUGGUAGUGGGGGAUAACGUCCGGAAACGGGCGCUACUACCGCAUACGUUCUGCGGGAGAAAGUGGGGGAUCUUCGGACCUCACGCUAUCAGCUGAGCCUAGGUCGGAUUAGCUAGUUGGUGAGGUAAAGGCCUACCAAGGCGACGAUCCGUAACUGGUCUGAGAGGAUGAUCAGUCACAAUGGAACUAAGACAAGGUCCAGACUCCUACGGGAGGCAGAAGACGGGAAUAGUGGAAAAGGGGCGAAGGCUAGAACAAGCAAUGCCGCGUGUAUGAAGAAGGGCAUCGGAUUGUAAAGCACUUUAAGUGGGGAGGAAGAGCAGUAAGUAAAUACAUUGAUGUUUUGACGUUAAAAACAGAAUAAGCACAGGAUAACUUAGUG